UACAAAACAGGAACUAAAAAGGAUUUCAAAAAGUGUGCUUGUCAUAAUCUACAGUUAAACAAGUGCACAAAAAAGAAGUAUGCUCUUCGAGGGACUACAGGGCUCUGAUUCAUGACCAAUUUUCCCCCUCCCUACAGUGUGGUC
This is a long non-coding RNA of Thalassophryne amazonica, 144 nucleotides long. RefSeq lists it as uncharacterized. NCBI's taxonomy places the organism in Eukaryota, Metazoa, Chordata, Actinopteri, Batrachoidiformes, Batrachoididae. The transcript is spliced from 3 exons. The record is from RefSeq and is a predicted model, not a curated record.